CUUUUAUGGGGCACUAUAGUUAGCGUUCUUCAUAUUUACUACAUUAAUUUUGCUGUAUUAAUCCAACCACUUAUUUAGUUUGUUUGCUGGUUUUUUAAUGUGCCCUCGAUUUGUUGUUCUUUGAACAAAUAGAUGAUAACUCAUUUAGUUUUUCUGUAAAAAUCUAUAUUUAUUUUUUCGUGAUUGUUGAAUUUUUUGUUCUACUUGCGUUUCUGAAUUGGGUAAAACCCAUUUGGUGGAUUUUCCAUGUUAAUAUGUAUAAAAAUGUAGAGAUGUAGAGAUUUUUUUUUCCCAUUUUUAUGACAAUUCUUGGUAAUUAAACACGUUACAGUGGAUUGCAGAGAGAAUACAAUACCUUCGAAAUUGAUACAAGUUACAGUGGAUUUUUUGCACCCUUUUUUCCCAUUUUUUGGAGUCUAUUGAUCUCUGUUAUAAUUAUUUGAGCUCAAUCCCAGGUGGGUUCAUCACUGAUUGCCGAGAGAUUAGUGGAUUGAAAUUGUUGAAUUGUAGUAGGAAUAGAUUGGUUGGUUCUUUGCCUAAUUUCAUGACUUUAGGAUGUUAGAACACUUGGAUUUUUCACAAAAUUCAAUUACUGGGGAAAUUUAUUCACAAUUUCUUGAAUUGGAUUCCCUCAAGAGCCUGAACCUUAGCCAAUACAAUUUCACGUGUUGUUCCUAAAAAAAUAGGAAAAUUGUUUCUUUUAGAGGAACUACAACUUUCUUUUCCUCAAAAGUUUAGACCUUAGUUAUAACAUGUUGACAGGGACAAUCCCUUCUAAUCUUCGGUCGGAACAAAUUUGCAAAGGAUUUAACUAAUGAAAAGAAAAUUAUCCGCCUAUGUUGACAGGGACAAUCCCAUUCUGUUUUAAUUAGCUGAAUUCAUCUAAGUAGUUGCUUGAAAAUAUGGUUUCUUGGUAGUGGUUGACUGGUAUUAAAUGUUUGAGAGAAGGAUCCCCACAAGUGGACUAAGUAGGAGUAAGGUCGAUAAAAUUCUUCUGUGUUUGAAAAUAAUCUCCAUAUUAUCGAUGUGGAAAAGUAUAUUCUUUUGCUUUUUUUCAUAAGCGCCAACUUGUGAGCUCUUGAUUAAUAUUUAUGUAAUAUUUUUAUUAAAAAAUUUGUCUGUAAAGUCUUGGUAGGUUGUAAGCUACUCAACAGAACUCACACCUCUCUUUCUCUUCUGAAUAUGGAGUUCUUCAUUGCAAUCUACAUUAUCUUUCUCUUUUAUGUUUUCAUUCAACUUUUUGAAAGAUUCUUGGGGCAGAAAAAUAAUUGCUGCUACAUGCUAAAUUAUGAAUGCUACAAGGCCACUAAGGACAGAAAGGUAGACACCGAAUCCUCUUGUAGAAUUUUUUUGAGAAAUAAGAAUCUUGGUUGGGAUGAAUACAAGUUUCUUUUAAAAAUCAUGGUCAGUUCAGGCAUUGGUGAACAAACUUAUUGUUCCAAAAAUGUCAUUAUGGGUGAAGAUGAAGAUCCCAGUUUCUCCAGUUCCUUCUUUAACAGCCCACAAGAGUGAAGCUCUUGAAGACCCGAAAAAAUUGAAAUAGGAUAUUAAAAAACUACACGUACUAAUUGAUAAAAUCGAAGUUUUAUAUUUUAGUUUUGCUUAACAGGUUAUGAUAAGGCAAUUCUAAUAUGCUAUGUUUUGCUUAAUUUGAUGUAUAUUCAAUAUAGCUUCAACAUGGGUAGUCACAGAGUUAGGAAUAAGGAACCAGUGUCAUGGUCUGACGAGAAUGAACACGCUUUUAUCGAAAUUCUUUACGAGAAAGUUAAAUCAAAUGCAUUGCAAUGUUCUACAUUCAUCUAAGACGAAUGGGGCAGGAUCAACGAAGCUAUGACAGCUUCAACAAAUAUGGAUUACGGCAUAAAUAGAUUGAAGGGAAAGUGGAACCGCUUACGUAAGAUUCAUCGCAUGUUCUCUGAACUUUUGAGACAUACAGAUGUUACAUGAGAUCCAAAUACCAAUAAAGUUAAUGUUGUAGAGGAAGUUUGGCAACACUUUUAUACGGUAACAUAUAUUUAUUAAAGAAUGUUUUUCGUCAUUAAUUUUUAUCUUAUCAAUUUUACAUUUUUUUAAAAAAAAUGACAAUGUGGUUUCUUUUUUCAAUGUUAGAUUAAUAAGUCGGAUUACAAGUUAUUCAAGAAGGAAGGAUGUAAGCACUACUACACUCUUGGGGAGAUAUUUAGCGAAACUACAGCUACUGGAGGAUUAGGCAGUGCCUCUACUCAGCUUCCCAACACAUCAGAGGAAGAAAGACAGCUAAAAGAUGAUUUUUUAAAUAGGGGAGUGCAUGUACGUGCAGAAAAUGAUGAUGAAGUCGAUGUGGUUUCAAAUACUCGUCGACGUAACGAAAUUGGUGCAUCGGGUGAACGGCGAUGUAAGGAACCUAAGACCAGUAAAAGUGAUAAACUCAAGACCCGCAUGGCACAGUGGUCAUCUACAGUUAGUUUGAGGAAUGAAGAAACUGAACUUCGAACACUUUAGAUAAAAGAAAAGCUGGCAAAGAUCCAAAGAAAAUCAAGUAAUCAAUCGGAUAGUGAAGUUAAUAGUCUGAAUCCUUAUUCAAAUGUUAUUUGCUUAAACUUCUUAAACAAUAUGGAAGGGGUGUCCAACGAGAUUUAUAUAAAAACAAUAAAGACUUUUAAGGAUCCCAAUUUCAGGGUGUCAUUUGUGAAGAUGCCAAAAGCAAGGAAAGGACCUAUCUUGGAACUACUUUGAUGUGACUGUUGUGUUAAUUUCUUUAGUAUUUUGUUGUUUUAAUUUGUGACUACUUUAUGUUGUUUUGAACUAUCUUGGAACUACUUUGUGUUGUUUUAAUUUCUCUAGUAUUGUGGUGAUGUUGUACUGUUUUCAUUUAUGAACAUAGUGAUGUCGAACAUUGGAGAAUUGAUGUCAAUUUUUCUUCAGUUUCUAGAUGCUUGAUUGCUUGUUUUAUUCGAAAGAAUGGUGGUUGACACGACUUAUGUUAAUUAUUUUGGUUAUAUUUUGUUCACAGUAUGACCAGUCAAUCAAAAGUGGAUGAUAAUGUGAGUACCGAGGAUUCCAUUGAUGAAGAUUCAAGUGAUGAUGAUUUGUUAUAUAUGGAUGCUUUUGGCACAAAUUUUGGAGAUUUAAUGAUGCUUAAUUGCUUUGUUGCCAACAAAGUAAGUACCAUUGGUAGGAGACCAUAUAGAACAUUGUUACUUACAGGAAAAAUGUACAUUAUAGAAAUUUUGAAUGGACAUCCAGAUGUGUGUUAUUGUAAUUUUCGUAUUCAGAAACACGAUUUCAUGAAUUUUUGUGAUAUUUUGAAAGAGAAAUGGUUGUUGAAAGAUGAAAAAAAAGUGAUCGUUGAGGAGGUGUUGCCAUGUUUUUGAUGAUUGUAUGACACAUUACAUGAUACAGUGUUAUUGGUGAUAGGUUUAAGCAUUCCAAUAACAUCAUACACAAAUGGUUUAAACGAGUUGUAAGGGCUAUUUGUUCGUUUGGCACUGAGAUAAUUCGUCCGACAAAUCAAGAUAUUGUGCAUGAGCGAAUUUUGCACAAAUAUCCUUUCUUUAAAGAUUGUAUAGGAGCAAUAGAUAGAACACAUGUUGCAGCUUGGGCUCCUGCAUCAAGACAAACAUCUUUUCGAGGAAGGAAAACUAAUGUGACACAAAAUGUGAUUUUGACAUGUGAUUUUGAUAUGAAAUUCACAUUUGUGUACUUUGGUUGGAAAGGUAUUGCUAAUGAUUCUCGAGCAUUCGUCGACGCAGUCACAAGAAGGUCGAUCAACUUUCCAAUGCCACGAGGAGGUAUAUUCUUAUACUUCAAAUAAUUAUUGCAAAUAUAUUUAUAGUGUCACAUUGUGUAAGCCUUUUUUUUUAGAUUCUGGAUAUCCAAACGUGCCUGGAUUUCUUGUCUCUUAUCGAGGUCAAAGAUAUCAUCUGCAUGACUAUGUUGGACAGUAAAGACUGCGUGGGAAGGAAGAAUUGUUCAACUAUAGACACUCCUUGUGCCGUAACAUUAUUGAACGUUGCAUUGGAAUUUUAAAGGUAAGAUUUUCUAUUUUGAAGUUGAUUACCAAUUAUCCACUUAGUAGGCAAAGACAAAUCCCUACUGCAUGUUGUCAAUAAACAAUAUUAUUCGUCAGGAGCAUGCUUUAGAUAAAUUGUUCGUAGAGUAUUCAGAGGAGAAUAUGGUGUUUCAAGACAUACCGGAGUCAAGUCAAGAUCAAGAAGUCAUACAUUUUGAUGCUAGUCAAACAGUUAAAAUGAGAUUAGUCAGGGA
Molecule: long non-coding RNA, 4245 nt
Filed under: Olea europaea subsp. europaea
Lineage: Eukaryota; Viridiplantae; Streptophyta; Magnoliopsida; Lamiales; Oleaceae
Source: RNAcentral